Dreissena polymorpha is the source of this 364-nucleotide long non-coding RNA. RefSeq lists it as uncharacterized. The record is from RefSeq and is a predicted model, not a curated record. NCBI's taxonomy places the organism in Eukaryota, Metazoa, Mollusca, Bivalvia, Myida, Dreissenidae. The transcript has 3 exons.
ACUAGUUGGGUGUAACCCCUAAUAGAUUAUAAUGAGGGUAUAUAAGCAAGCGUAUCAUUCAGCACGAUUUGCGGGAAAGCAGUCAUCCAUAUUGGUUGAAGCAGUUGUUCUUCACUUUUAUUCUGUUUUCUAUAAAGUCACAGCACUGGGCAUCAUCUGCAGUCAAGACUGGGGUCAUAAGCUGUCAUAGGAGGCCAAUCCACAAUUGGGCUUUGACAACUUUGCGACGCCUUUGUGAUUUCUCUGAGACGCUUUAAAUAAGCUGUUUAUCAGUUAUUUCCAGAGAUUGUAUUACAAUUAUGUAAUCAUUAAAAGUUAUAGUGUUGAGGGAAAACUAAAUUAAAUGGACAUGUAAUGAACCCAG